This 447-nucleotide ribosomal RNA is filed under the name uncultured archaeon. RNAcentral's name for it is "partial 16S ribosomal RNA". It matches the Rfam family "Archaeal small subunit ribosomal RNA", at positions 330 to 747 of the family's 1478-position model. The record is from RNAcentral.
GCGCACCAGGCGCGAAAACUCCGCAAUGCGCGAAAGCGUGACGGGGUCACCCCGAGUGCCGUCCGCUGAGGAUGGCUUUUGCCUGGUCUAACCAGCCGGGUGAAUAAGGGGAGGGCAAGUCUGGUGUCAGCCGCCGCGGUAAUACCAGCUCCCCGAGUGGUUGGGACGAUUAUUGGGUCUGAAGCGUCCGUAGCCGGCCGGAAAAGUUCCCCGUUAAAUCUGGCGAUCCAAUCGUUGGGCUGCGGGGAAUACUCUUCGGCUUGGGGGCGAGGGAGGUCGGCGGUAGUGCCGGGGUAGGGGCGAAAUCCUAUAAUCCCGGGAGGACCACCAGUGGCGAAGGCGGAGCGCCAGAGCACGCCCGACGGUGAGGGACGAAAGCUAGGGGAGCGAACGGGAUUAGAUAUGAAGUUGAGUUUUUAUCAGCUUCACUAGAUACCCCGGUAGUCC